Molecule: long non-coding RNA, 7103 nt
Filed under: Lactuca sativa (garden lettuce)
Lineage: Eukaryota; Viridiplantae; Streptophyta; Magnoliopsida; Asterales; Asteraceae
Description: long non-coding RNA (LSAT_LNC007711)
Source: RNAcentral
UACGUUAGGAUUAUACGAGUAAACUCACUUGGAACUUACUACGAGUACUCACAAGCUCACUUUUCGUGUGCAACAGAGUUAUGUCUUCUCAUGAAGGUAACCAUUAUCCCGACCAUGCACCGAUCCUACGAAUAGACUCUGCCACUUCCAAAGCCACUGUAACAUCGACUGUGGCAGCCGUCAUGGCCUACUUCAAUACAAAUGACACAAUAAAAGUUGGAAACAAUGUCGGUAACUCCAACUGUAACAACAACCAAAGAAACCAACUAAGAACAACUCACCCAUGCACUAAAAAACCUAAACCUAAGAACAAGAAAUGAAAGUUCAGGAACGAAAAAGGAGUCAGUUCGACUCAGAGGCUUACUAAAAAGAAACAAGCGAGAUUAGUUCCUACCCAUAUUAACCCUACUCCUCCCCCAUCGAGACAAUCAUACCUUGGGAGCAAUCCACCCUGCAACAAGCGAAAUUACCAUCAUUGGGGGGCCUACCAGACAUUUUGUUGCAAAAGGGUGCAACAAGAUGGGGCACAUCUCCCGCUACUGUAGGGCCCCGACCCCAUGAAUCACCCCAAUUCCCAACCCAGAAGUAAGUCAAGUUUGUCACCAGUGCGGUGCAACAGGACAUUUGAAGAGAAAUUGUCCAACAGUGAUGACUGACGAGGGAGUUGACAACUAGACAGGAAGAGACAACAAGAAACCCUACCGAGAUUUUCGGCACGUUUCGAACGACAAACUUUAUAUGACGAAUUUUCCCGAAAAGGUAUUGAAAAUUGAAAACAUAAUAAAAAACUACUCCCCCAGUUGAGCAAAUCUGUAAAUCAUGGAGAAGCUAGCGAAUCCUUACGAAUGGACUAUGAUGGCCCCAUAUAAACGUUAGUAUCAUACGUGGUUAAGAUUCCGCAAACUCAGAACGUGCGAUUCCGUCUUACUUUCUGCCCCUGGGCUGAAUAAUGAGUAGGACAGAACCCCACAGGCAACCAUCUCCAAAGAUCCUAAGAUCUUAAGUACGUACAGUUAGGUCAUAUCCAUCUAUAGCGGAGGGACCUGGCAGAAUUCGGAUUACGAAUUCCAUUGCCUUAUAACAGCACCCUCGUGUCGCUAGGACACCUAAAAAGCAGAGACGAAAUAGACCUAAUGGUAGCAACGAAAAUGAAACUAGCAAUGAUGAGAACACGAACACUAGAACACCUAACAAGCAGAAACGAGAUAGAUCGAAUGGUAACAACGAAAACAAAACUAGUAACUAUAGGAGCAUGAACAUAAAACGCCUUGUCUCCUCAAAUCGAUGUAACAACAAGGAGUCCAAUGUCGUUAGUUGACACGGACAUGCUUGAUCCUCACCUUACAAACCUAGAGCUCUAUCAAUAGUCUUUCUUCCUACUCCACCGGGUAACGAAACUCUUUUAGCUGGUAACGACAAAUCCCUAGUAACCAGACACCUAAGUCCUGGUGUAAGAAUCGCCACACGCCCUUCCUUAGCCCCAACAAAGAUUAAAAAUCAAGGAGCAAAGGGCAUAAAAAGGAAUCCAAAAGGCUUCCAACCAUUCCUCCAGAGAUUCCUAAAAUCUCUUAUAAAGCCUCAACCAUGUGCUAAACAGAGGUAGAAUCACCUCGACUCCUAGAAUCACGUCAAUGACCUAACACCCGACACCACUUAGCACGGUCACAAGAACAAAUGGUGUCUGAUCAUAAGAUCAACAUAUUAUGUAAAGGAAACAUCAGACCCAAUCCCUAAACACAGGAAGCACCUGUCUAACCCUUAAGGGGAGAAAGACGAAAUUGCCAUAGGCACCACCAUCCACGAAUAAGCCAAACAAACCCAUCCUCAAGGAUCGAUACUCCCUACCCCAGAAUCGGAGACAUGUUCAACCAAAAACAAGGGCUGGCAGAGGCCAACCUACCAUUAGCUCGGGAAAACUAUAGGAAGAAAACUCCCCAUAUAAUCGAAGACUCAUAAGUUCAACCACAUCACACACAAACUCAACCUUGGUAACUAUAGCACCAACUCCUAACGCCCAUAAAACUCUACUUCUGGGAUACCCGGAUCCUGAUCCCUAGAAAACCAUUCAAAAGGCCUCGCCAAGGAAAAGCUCCGAUAAACCAUAGUCUCCGAUUAAGCUAAGAGCUCAGUUAAGACAUUUUACAUUCCAUGUAUUCUACACUCAUAAGUGUCGAACCACCAAAACUCUAGAAAUCCCAUAUGUCGAGGUCAAGGUAAAAACAAACCCACACCCCAAAGAGAAGCAUGUGUAGUGGACAUUGACAAGGUUGGAUGCCCACUUGCUUCUAAUCGAGUACUCAUACACCAAAAACUACCACCCGAGCAUGGGAGUUGUAUCCUUCAAGGCCCCCGUUUGGCCGGAAAUGCAGAUCAUCCUAUGUUGGGCAGAGGUGAGAGACACCAAACUGAAAAGAGAACAAACACUCAAUAGCUUACUCCCUAGAUCCAAGAUUACUCACGAAACCACAAGAAAGAUAGUCAAAACCUGAACACGACCCCAAACAUCGUAUAAGUCAACAAUAGAACUAUACAGAUAGCAGGUUAAGGCCUCAAAAUCCCAAGUAGGGAUCAUGGUACUAUUUAAGAACUCACCCCCGAAGAAGAGUAACUCGAAUCAAAAAGAAAAGUGAACUAAACUCCCAAUGCACCAGACCCUUUGAGAUCCUUGUACGGAUCGGCCCGGUAGCCUACCAAAUCCAAUUACCCUCCGAUUUUAGUAAUGCACACCCUGCAUUUCAUGUAUCAAACCUAGAAAGUGUCUAUCGGACAACCCUCCUAGUCCCACUAGACAAGGCUAAGGCGAACUAGAACCUCCUAAUCAUUGAUCCGCCUAUAGAGACAAUGAACGGAAAUGUUAAGAACACAUAAGCAAAGCCACAUCCCAAUGGUGAGGGUUCAAUGGAAACGCUAGGCGUGAACCGGUAUUCACUUGGCAAUUUGAGGACCAUAUAAAUCAAAAGUACCCUCACCUAUUUUCGCAUUCAUAACCGUACCCUUUGAAAGAAUUUCGGGACAAAAUUCCCUCUAACAGGGGAAUGAUGUCACAACUAGCACUUUUGGCUAGGAAAUUCCGUCCUCAGCUAAGCAAGGACUAUUGUGAAACUUGUGCUAACUCACCUAAAUGUUUAAUAUGAGUUCCUAAGGAGCCAUAAAGUGUUACAAUGCAAAUCUCUCCAAGUAUAGUGAAUCUCUCCCAAAUCUCUCCAAGCUUGUGAAAUCUCUCUCAAAUCUCUCUAAGUAUAGUAAAUCUCUCCAAGUAUAGUAAUUCUCUCCCAAAUCUCUCUAAGUGUGCGAAAUCUCUCCAAGAAUAGUGAAUCUCUCCCAAAUCUCUCUAAGUAUGCGAAAUCUCUCUAUGUAUGGUGAAUCUCUCCUAAAUCUCUCCAAGAAAACUAAAUCUCUCCCAAAUCUCCCUAAGUAUGCAAAAUCUCUCCAAGAAAAGUGAAUCUCUCCCAAAUCUUUUUAAGUAUGCGAAAUCUCUCCAAGAAUAGUGAAUCUCUCCCAAAUCUCUCAAAGUAUGUGAAAUCUCUCCCAAAUCUCUCCACGUUUCUCAAAUCUCUCUCAAAUCUCCUUAAAUACCUUCCUUAGUCGAAAACAGCUCAAAACCGGAAGAGGAAACCCCAAAAGGAACCUCUUGGUCCGGAACCCUCAUGGUCCUGAACCUCUUGGUCCGGACUCCUCUUGGUCCGGAACCCUCUUAGUCCGGACACCUUCUUUGGAACCGAGAAGGCUCUCACCUUCAGAAUUCCCUUGCUUCGGAUCUCCUCACUGCUCCGGAUGGUUUGAAUCCGGAAGGCUUCACAUGACUUGCUUCAGACAUCUAGCCGCCUCGCAUCCUCGGUCCGGACUUACCUGAUCUUGCACCCGACUCUGGAGGUGAGCAUUGGCUUCGGAACUUGUCCAGCGCCUUCGGAACCUACCCAGCAGCUUCGGAAUUUACCCAAAUGACUUCGGAAAUUAGAAUCUGACACCGGAAUCCUUCUUAUGCUUCUCGGACCCUCGCAAGAACCAAUCCCCACUCCGAAAUUUCAUUGUUUUCGGACUUUUUCACCAUUUUAAGACAUUUUGACGCCGAAAAUUACACCAUACUUGUAUUUUUCCUAUCCUAAACCCCUUAGACCCCUAUUUUAUGCUAAAAUUAAUUAUUUUAAGCAUAUUCUUCAUAAAAACAAAUGGUUGGGAUUUAGGAAAACCUUAUCCUAAAUCAAGCAAAGGACAAAAGGAUUGACUUUGUGAUUUGAGGAAAUUCCUCACUUCCCAUGCAAAUCACAGUACUCCAUGCUUUACCCCCAAAUAUCCAUGCAUGGACCACCAGAUACCCAUGUACCAAAGAUUCCUUCCUUUUCCUUAUACUCUAAAGCAACGACAGUGUGGGAGUUUAGACUCCACUUUCUCUCACAUUUUUCCCCAUUUUCUCUCAAAAACUCAUCUUCAAGUAAGAAAAGAGGAUCUUGCUGAAAGGAAAUUUCUCAACUUCUUCCUGAGAGAUUUUAAAGUAAAUUCCUCCACUCAUCUAAUAUUUUAUUAUAUAUCAAGAUGAAUCCAUAUUAUCUUAUUCAUAAUAAUAUGUGAUGAUCAUCCUUAGGAAAGUAUCCCUCCCACGGAAGUUCCUCAUCUUAGCCAAGAGUUAAAGCGUGAGAUCAUCACUCCAUAACUCCAAACAACUCCUCAACCAACUCAUGGUGAGCUUCAUACCCCACAUUUUCCAUAUUUUAAUGUUUUUGGGNNNNNNNNNNNNNNNNNNNNNNNNNNNNNNNNNNNNNNNNNNNNNNNNNNNNNNNNNNNNNNNNNNNNNNNNNNNNNNNNNNNNNNNNNNNNNNNNNNNNUUCAAUUGUUAUGAUACUGCGCAAUGAAGUUACCCGCCUCCGGACGUUUCCACCGUUUGGUCCGGGGGUGUGACAGAUUGGUAUCAGAGCAUUGUUUAUAGUGAACUGGUAUAUCUAGCCAUACGAGAUAUGCAACUAUAAAUACAAUGGGACUAAAACAAACUCUGCCUAAAAUUAUACUUUAAGAAUAUAAGUAUUUAUAAAAGUAUACAUAAUUACUAACCCAGUAUCAUAACAAGAAGAGACCGAGAGUAACUAAAGUUUGAACACUACAGUCAAACCUAGGCAGUUAUGUAAUCAUAUCUAGGAUCAAUAUAGCCUGAUCAACUAUAUUUAUUUGAGGUAUGACCAACACGUGCUUGGGUGUGAUGGUGGUGUUGCAACAAACCUAAAACCUAAAAACUAUGCACACAAGAGAAUACUAGAAUUCGAACAUCAAGUAUAAAAUACUAUAGGAGUAUUUUAGGAUACUAUAAACCCCUCACACCUAAACCAUCCCUGUAUAUCUCAAGCCGCGACUCUUGCACAUACGACAUAAUUGAAAUUCCUCACCUAGACUUCUACAAUCCUAUCAUGAUGAUUUACGGAUGGGGCAAGGAGAGACCAAAAGAAUCACAAGAGGAAAAUCCAGAAAUGGAUCCUAGGGGAUACCCAUAGAUGAAUUGUGAAAGGGAGAAUUCCGAUUAAGAAUUCAACAAGGAUAAAAGCGCCAAGGAAACCCUUGAUAAGCUUUGCCCAAAUGAGAGUAAACCCAAGACCCUUUCACCUCUCUCUUCCCAGAUACGUAAACACCCUAGAAACAAAAAGAUACCCACGCAAAAACGAGUUGAGCAAUUGACUCCUACCCGAUUUAGGGCGCAUCUCCACAAAAGACAAUCCGAUCCACAAUCGAUGCGCACCGAACUCCGAGAGCCAACACCCUCGCGGAUCAGAUGACCGUUUGGGUCAAGAGUAACCCGAAUUGAAUCCCAGUUUCCAACCCUCGGUCGUGGAGUAAUGCACACCAUAUGCAAAACCCGGUGUGCAACAGUGUAAAUCCGAUCCCUAACAAGUAACAAGAACACCAUUCCAAAUGCCUUAUGAAACCCACCAGUAGGACCAGAGAACUAUGUAGACCACACACACUCCUUAAAAGAGAAAAGAUGUCAUUUGGAGACCACAACUCAUAGCAAUAAAGUCUAGGACAGCCUUAGCAGCGUAAGGAACACAAAAAUUGCACCCUUAAUAUAUGUGAAAUGGUCAAGCACUUUGUGUGCCAAAAGAGGAUCGCCACACUACUCGCCUUAGGUUCAUAAUGCCCUUAGUCGCAACCAGUAAAAGUGAACCAAGAGGAGUUCAUACUCCAAAAAUCCAUACAACCGAACCCGUUAACCAUAUUGCUAGCCAUGUGCUAUGACGACAGACUUUACAUCAGACAAUACAUGUUCCCACCCUCCACCAUAACUGCAUCAUGGGGAUGUAGGUUGAACCGAUUAACACCAGUACAUUAGGAUUAUACGAGAAAACUCACUUGGAACUUACUACGAGUACUCACAAGCUCACUUUUCGUGUGCAACAGAGUUAUGUCUUCUCAUGAAGGUAACCAGUAUCCCGGCCAUGCACCGGUCCUACGAAUAGACUCUGCCACUUUCCAAGACACUGUAACAACGAUUGUGGUAGCCGUCAUGGCCUACUUCAAUACAAAUGACACAAAAAAAAGUUGGAAACAAUGUUGGUAACUCCAACCGUAACAACAACCAAAGAAACCAACUAAGAACAACUCACCCAUGCACUAAAAAACCUAAACCUAAGAACAAGAAAUGAAAGUUCAGGAACGAAAAAGGAGUCAGUUCGACUCAGAGGCUUACUAAAAAGAAACAAGCGAGAUUAGUUCCUACCCAUACUAACCCUACUCCUCCCCCAUCGAGACAAUCAUACCUUGGGAGCAAUCCACCCUGCAACAAGCGAAAUUACCAUCAUUGGGGAGCCUACCAGACAUUUUGUUGCAAAAGGGUGCAACAAGAUGGGGCACAUCUCCCGCUACUGUAGGGCCCCGACCCCAUGAAUCACCCCAAUUCCCAACCCAGAAGUAAGUCAAGUUUGUCACCAGUGCGGUGCAACAGGACAUUUGAAGAGAAAUUGUCCAACAGUGAUGACUGACGAGGGAGUUGACAACUAGACAGGAAGAGACAACAAGAAACCCUACCGAGAUUUUCGGCACGUUUCGAACGACAAACUUUAUAUGACGAAUUUUACCGAAAAGGUAUUGAAAAUUGAAAACAUAAUAAAAAACUACUCCCC